CUUAUUCCACUUUAGUUAUCACAUUGCCCGUGUGCUAUAAGUAGGAGAUGGGUGGAAGGAUCAUCGCAUCUCGGAAGAACAAGGAAGUGGGGAUUACCAAAAACUAGAAAAAAAAUAUGAUGCCAUUUAAGGCGUUUUUCAUCCUUUUGGCUCUCCUCUGCAGUUUAAUCAUCCAACCAAGUAUGGCUACCAGGGAUCAUGCCCAUGAUACACAAACAAAAGUAGGUGGCCAGAAGCCGGUAGAUGCUAAGCCUAUUACUCCUGGUGCGUUAAAUCCGCGUAGGCCAGUUUAUGGAGUGCCCAGCGGUAGGCCUUACCAACCUGGCUGCAGAAAGAUCUACGGAUGCCGUGCUAAUCCUCCCACCCCAUAACUGCCACUAAAAUUAUAUCUAUACUAGUAUCCGGGGCCAUUGACCAAUCCCGGGUCGAACGUAUAUUAUGUUCACUUUGUAUCAAUCCAUGCAUGCACUAAAUAAGCAGCCCAACGCAGAUGUCAGAUCUGGGCUUGUUCAACUUACAACGGAGAGCUAUAUAAUAUAUACCUCUAUAUUUUGAGUGCUCUUCUACUGUUAUUGUCAUUGUUCUAAGACUUGGGGCUCAUGUCCAUAUUAUGAAAAUCAUCAUCAUUAUUGCUGAGUAAAAGAAUAUGGACUCCUACCCUUGAAAAUUAUGUUUUAUGCUUAUACUUUUCUGUUCUGCACUUUUUUAUUUUUAUUUUUUAUUAUUUUUUGACAAGCCGGAUAGAAGUAUGGCAGAUCAAAAAUAAUUCAUCAAAAGAAAUCAGAUAAUGCAAAUAAACAAGAGUAAUAGCAACUGCAAUAAAUGGCGAUAAUCUUAGGAACUAAGACCCUAUACAAGCAAGUCCAUAUAUGGCUAUAUUAAAAUUAUUUUCGUUUGCUUUAUAAACUAUUUCCAUGUUAUUAAAGCAGUAGCAAUUUGAAAGACAAAUCUCGCAUGAAAUGCAAUCCUGAUUGAAGACAUUGCAGCUGAAUCUAAGAAGUUGGGACCACAGGCCUUACGAAUUAGAACACUAAUUAGUUGUUUCUUCACAUGGCGAGCCAACAUCAUAGUCUGAGGCAUACGAGAUCCCACAACUGGAUGAAGUGAAAUCUUGGUUCUUGGUAUUUUUUUCUUCCUCAUAGUGCUUUCACGCAUUCUUCAUAACCUUAAAUGGUUGGUCUUUGAAGAAGCGCCGCCCCCGUUCUCCGAUCCUUCACAAGAAAGUGAAACGAGUGAAAUUCCAAGAAGACAUCAUUGUCUUUAGUGAAGUUAUGAAUUGAAUUCAGGUUUGUGUUAAUUGACGGAACACAGAGAGUAUUAGAGAGUUUGAAGGAGUGAGGAGAGGAGGGAAUGGAUGUAGAGCCGACAUGGGUUACACGCAAACCUGAACCAUCACCGAUGACGACCUCGUAAGUGCUAUCAUAUUCGGAGUGGAUGGAGAGAUUGGCAAGAUCGGAAGUGACGUUGUGGGACGUCGCCGAAUAAACGAGCUAUUUCUUGUUCCAAGAGGAAGAUGAAGGAGAUGCACAGUUGGCAGAGACGCCAGGCCGCGGCUUCACACAACAAGUUUUAGCUGAAUGACCUGGAAUGUCGCAAAGUUGGCAAGUGAGGGUGGCCGUAUCAGGACGACGAUGAGGCCUGGACUUGCCAGAGUGUGGGCGAGAGGUCUUCUUGUUGGAAUACUUGUGGUGGUUGGACGCCCGGCAUUGGGUGGAGUUCGCAGUGGCAACAAGAGUAGCCGUGGACGUCUCGAGACGACGGAUACACUACAACAAUAAAGGGUUCUGGCGACUCUAUAUUGCCGACGCUACAAAAAAGCGUCGGCAAAUUUUUUUCUUGCAACGGUAAAUGCCGACGCUUGGGAAAAGCGUGGGUAAAAACGUUCCGCCGACGCUUUUAAGCGUCGGCGUAGGAAAAAAAUACGACGACGCUUAUAAGCGUCGUCGGACUUCACUUCUCCCCCCCACAAAACCCCAUCGACCCCCUCCCUCCAUAGCCCACAGCCCUAAAUCCCUAACUCACGGCGACCGACCCUCUCCGUCCUCAGCCCUUUUCACCGAUCUCAGCCAAUCUCCUCCGACGAACGAUCCCAAAUCGUGUUCCUCCGCCGCAUCUCCUUCCCCUCCUCCCCCUCUCCGUUGGCCAGGUUUGGGAUCUUCUUCUCUUGCUUCGAUCAUAGGAUUGGGAUCAGGUGGAGGAUAUAACGAUGGCUGCUAAAAAUGGCUCAACGACUAUUGAGAAAGAGCAGGAUUGAAGAGAACAACUGCAGGAUCCGCUUCUCCCCCGGCUCUCGCCUACUCCUCCUCCGAGGAGAUCCCGUCCGAGUCCCCUGUGUCAUCUUGAAGGAUUGGAAUAUUGGAAAGCUCUGCUACGAAUUCGACAGAGCCAUACUCGCUCGCCCGGGAUAAACAAGUCAAAGAUUUUGCCUCUCUAUCUGGAAUCGAGGUGUUCUCCCCUGUGAGCCAUACUCUCUUCAAUCCUGCAGUUGUUAUAGGAAAGGUAGUCCCUAGCUCUUGUACUAUCAAUUAUUAUUAGCAGACUCAUCAAAAAAAAGGAGUAUUACUUGAGGUAAGACUGAAGUUGUGGUAUUGGUUGCAUUUGUUUUAGAAGGUAAUAUGGCAAUCGAUAGGGGGUGGUAUUGACAACCAACAAUGAAAGUAUUGGGUGGUAGUGGUCAGUAUUACCUUAUUGACAACUUCAUUCUUCCUAGUCUCAUUGCAUGCCCACUCUAACAUCCUCAUCUCCCCAUACUUCAAAAAACAGCUAUGGGAAUGCGAAAUGUACACCAUUUAACUAAAUGGUGUGUGAGAUUUGAUUUUAAUCACAGAAACAAUUUUUAGAUGCUCCAGCUCUUUUAUAUCUUUGCUUUUCCCAUUGUUGGAUCUGAACUAUUGGUCCAGCCACUCUGUGUCAAGCUUCAUGGUACUGCAGGGAAGCUCUUAAAUAAAUUAGAAAGGUUGGGCUAGUGCAGCAAUUUGUGAAUCAUUAGAGUUACCUAAUCCUAAAUUGAGGUACCAAACUCUGUGAACAAUUCUUUGUAUACAGUUUAACAAUUUUGAUGGCUUUUCUUAUGUCACCUUUCAUCUCUGUAGUGAGGAAGAUAUACUUAUGAACAUCUAGA
Non-coding RNA from Phoenix dactylifera (date palm), 3121 nucleotides. Lineage: Eukaryota; Viridiplantae; Streptophyta; Magnoliopsida; Arecales; Arecaceae. The record is from RefSeq and is a predicted model, not a curated record.